This is a long non-coding RNA of Dermochelys coriacea (leatherback sea turtle), 195 nucleotides long. RefSeq lists it as uncharacterized. The transcript is spliced from 3 exons. NCBI's taxonomy places the organism in Eukaryota, Metazoa, Chordata, Testudines, Dermochelyidae. The record is from RefSeq and is a predicted model, not a curated record.
CAGACCUGGUGGUAGAAUAAUAUACAAGACUGGAAUAUUGGUAUAGAAAGGUACAACUUGCUCAGGAAGGACCUGCAGGGGACAAAGGGAGGAGGUGUUGCCUUAUAUAUUAAAAAUGUGUAAACUUGGACUGAGGUUGAGAUGGAAAUAGGAGACUUGUUGAAAGUCUCUGGGUAAGGAUGAAAGGGCUAAAAA